GCUGCAUGGCUGUCGUCAGCUCGUGUUGUGAAAUGUUGGGUUAAGUCCCGCAACGAGCGCAACCCUUAUCCUUUGUUGCCAGCGGUCCGGCCGGGAACUCAAAGGAGACUGCCAGUGAUAAACUGGAGGAAGGUGGGGAUGACGUCAAGUCAUCAUGGCCCUUACGACCAGGGCUACACACGUGCUACAAUGGCGCAUACAAAGAGAAGCGACCUCGCGAGAGCAAGCGGACCUCAUAAAGUGCGUCGUAGUCCGGAUUGGAGUCUGCAACUCGACUCCAUGAAGUCGGAAUCGCUAGUAAUCGUGGAUCAGAAUGCCACGGUGAAUACGUUCCCGGGCCUUGUACACACCGCCCGUCACACCAUGGGAGUGGGUUGCAAAAGAAGUAGGUAGCUUAACCUUCGGGAGGGCGCUUACCACUUUGUGAUCCAUGACUGGGGUGAAGUCGUAACAAGGUAACCGUAGGGGAACCUGCGGUUGGAUCACCUCCUUA
RNAcentral lists this ribosomal RNA (493 nucleotides) under Escherichia coli. RNAcentral describes it as "bacterial SSU rRNA". It matches the Rfam family "Bacterial small subunit ribosomal RNA", at positions 1040 to 1533 of the family's 1533-position model. Lineage: Bacteria; Pseudomonadati; Pseudomonadota; Gammaproteobacteria; Enterobacterales; Enterobacteriaceae. The record is from RNAcentral.